UACGUAGGGCGCAAGCGUUAUCCGGAAUUAUUGGGCGUAAAGAGCUCGUAGGCGGUUUGUCGCGUCUGCCGUGAAAGUCCGGGGCUCAACUCCGGAUCUGCGGUGGGUACGGGCAGACUAGAGUGCAGUAGGGGAGACUGGAAUUCCUGGUGUAGCGGUGAAAUGCGCAGAUAUCAGGAGGAACACCGAUGGCGAAGGCAGGCCUCUGGGCUGUAACUGACGCUGAGGAGCGAAAGCAUGGGGAGCGAACAGG
RNAcentral lists this ribosomal RNA (253 nucleotides) under uncultured bacterium. Its description in RNAcentral is "partial 16S ribosomal RNA". It matches the Rfam family "Bacterial small subunit ribosomal RNA", at positions 524 to 776 of the family's 1533-position model. The record is from RNAcentral.